AUGCAGUCGCACGGGCUCUUCGCGAGCAAGUGGCGGACGGGUGAGUAACCCGUGAGAAUGUGCCUUCAGGAUGGGGAUAACAAUAGGAAACUAGUGCUAAGACCCAAUGUGCCUUAAGUGGUGAAAAAUGAAAAUUGCCUGAAGAGGAGCUCGCGUCUGAUUAGCUAGUUGGGGUGGUAAAAGCGCACCAAGGCAACGAUCAGUAGCUGGUCUGAGAGGAUGAGCAGCCACACUGGGACUGAGACACGGCCCAGACUCCUACGGGAGGCAGCAGUGGGGAAUUUUCCGCAAUGGGCGAAAGCCUGACGGAGCAAUACCGCGUGAGGGAGGAAGGCUCUUGGGUUGUAAACCUCAAAACUUAGGGAAGAAAAAAAUGACGGUACCUAAUUUAAGCAUCGGCUAACUCCGUGCCAGCAGCCGCGGUAAUACG
This 430-nucleotide ribosomal RNA is filed under the name uncultured bacterium. Its description in RNAcentral is "bacterial SSU rRNA". It matches the Rfam family "Bacterial small subunit ribosomal RNA", at positions 55 to 527 of the family's 1533-position model. The record is from RNAcentral.